Perognathus longimembris pacificus (Pacific pocket mouse) is the source of this 853-nucleotide long non-coding RNA. RefSeq lists it as uncharacterized. The transcript has 2 exons. Lineage: Eukaryota; Metazoa; Chordata; Mammalia; Rodentia; Heteromyidae. The record is from RefSeq and is a predicted model, not a curated record.
CCAGGCCCCGAGUUCAAGCACCACGGCCAUUGUAUCACUGAAUCAAUAUAUCUAACUGUGCAUUUAUUCUACCUGAGACCAAUUUCCCCAUGAGGUCACUGGAUUUUCUUAUCUUAAGAAGUUCUCCAGUAUUCCUUACCAUGAACUACCCUUGAAAGUUAUCAGCAAUUCCUGUCUGGCAGGCUUAACCUUGCUUGUGAUCUCAGUAAUCAUAUUUUUAGAUAACUAAUCUCUUAUACAUAUAUAUGUAUAUAUAUGCAAUUGAGUUCAUCGAAGUGUAUUAAAAAGUAUGAAACCAUGUCACAUCCAUACUCUAGAUCAUACUUGUGUUGUCCCUGAAGGCAAUUCUUAACUGAACAAAGAACGAAUACUAUGGAACUUCUGCUGCUGCUCCUUUAUGUGAAAAUGAAAAUUGCACUGUGCUUCCAGGCGGGAGAAAGCAGCCAAAUCAUACUCCACAGCCAAACACACCUCAACAUUUCCUACUGAAGGAAAUGACCCCACUUUAUGUGUAUUUCAAUGGGAAAACUGUCAGAAGCACAAGGGGCUAGCAGAUGCAACUCCUAUUUCAAGUAUCAGAAAAAUAUUCAACAAUGAAGCAUGAUUUAGACAUCAAGAGGAGACAGAUGUUUCUCUUGCUCCCACAAGUCUUUCCUUUCCUUGCACAGUCCCAGAUGAGUCACUGCAGCCUCCCUGUUCAGUCUGUACGAAGGGUCAUGGGAUGUGGUCAGAUCUGGCAGAUGUAGAAAUCACAUAUGCGCACUUCGCAUGACCAUUGCAUGGUCAUGUGUCCAUCUUCUAGCUGCAAGGGAAGCGAGGAGAAUGCUUGUUCAGUUGACAGUUUUAUUACUAA